GUCUAUGACCAAACUACCCUGAAUGUUGAUAUCAGAAACUAAGCACAGUCUUACCUUGUUAGUACUUAGAUGGGAGACAACUUGGGAAUACUGGGUGCUGUAAGUU
RNAcentral lists this ribosomal RNA (106 nucleotides) under Mesocricetus auratus (golden hamster). The record is from RNAcentral. Lineage: Eukaryota; Metazoa; Chordata; Mammalia; Rodentia; Cricetidae.